UCGGGUUCUGCCCUGAUUUUGUCCUGGGACAGGAUUUCCUGCCGGACCCGCUUUCAGAAGAAACUGGUCUGCUGCCUCCUGUGCACUAGGAGGAGCCUCACACACACUCCUUGUUAUGGCUGGUGGAUCACCACUGCAAGACUCAGAGGAGCUUUCAUCUGAGGAUCUGACCCAAAGGGAGCUAAGUUCCAAAUAUCCGUCUAUGUAUCUACGUAGGCCGAAGGGAUCGGGGGCCGGAAAGAAAAAGCUACGCUCGCCCCCUGACCGCGGGGCUCUGGAGAAGAGGCCCUUCUGGGGUCCCUGCACUGGCCGGCUCCUGCUGCUCCUGGGAUUGGUC
This 337-nucleotide long non-coding RNA is filed under the name Sarcophilus harrisii (Tasmanian devil). RNAcentral's name for it is "lncRNA (ENSSHAG00000023570.1)". The record is from RNAcentral. Lineage: Eukaryota; Metazoa; Chordata; Mammalia; Dasyuromorphia; Dasyuridae.